GACGGGGGGGGCAAGUGUUCUUCGGAAUGACUGGGCGUCAAGGGCGCGUAGGCGGCCUGAUAAGUAGGGGGUGAAAUCCUGCGGCUUAACCGCAGGGCUGCCUUCUAAACUGUCAGGCUCGAGCACAGUAGAGGCAGGUGGAAUUCCCGGUGUAGCGGUGGAAUGCGUAGAGAUCGGGAAGAACAUCAGUGGCGAAGGCGGCCUGCUGGGCUGUUGCUGACGCUGAGGCGCGACAGCGUGGGGAGCAAACAGG
This 253-nucleotide ribosomal RNA is filed under the name uncultured bacterium. RNAcentral's name for it is "partial 16S ribosomal RNA". It matches the Rfam family "Bacterial small subunit ribosomal RNA", at positions 524 to 776 of the family's 1533-position model. The record is from RNAcentral.